GAUGAACGCUAGCUACAGGCUUAACACAUGCAAGUCGAGGGGAAACGAUAGAGAAAGCUUGCUUUUUCUAGGCGUCGACCGGCGCACGGGUGAGCAACGCGUAUCCAACCUGCCCACCACUUGGGGAUAACCUUGCGAAAGUAAGACUAAUACCCAAUGACAUCUCUAGAAGACAUCUGAAGGAGAUUAAAGAUUUAUCGGUGAUGGAUGGGGAUGCGUCUGAUUAGCUUGUUGGCGGGGUAACGGCCCACCAAGGCGACGAUCAGUAGGGGUUCGGAGAGGAAGGUCCCCCACAUUGGAACUGAGACACGGUCCAAACUCCUACGGGAGGCAGCAGUGAGGAAUAUUGGUCAAUGGGCGAGAGCCUGAACCAGCCAAGUAGCGUGCAGGAUGACGGCCCUAUGGGCUGUAAACUGCUUUUAUAAGGGAAUAAAGUGAGCCUCGUGAGGCUUUUUGCAUGUACCUUAUGAAUAAGGACCGGCUAAUUCCGUGCCAGCAGCCGCCGUAA
This 508-nucleotide ribosomal RNA is filed under the name uncultured bacterium. RNAcentral describes it as "partial 16S ribosomal RNA". It matches the Rfam family "Bacterial small subunit ribosomal RNA", at positions 28 to 523 of the family's 1533-position model. The record is from RNAcentral.